AUUGAACGCUGGCGGCGUGCUUAACACAUGCAAGUCGAGCGGUAACAGGUGUAGCAAUACAUGCUGACGAGCGGCGAACGGGAGAGUAAUGCUUCGGAAUCUGCCCAGUAGUGGGGAAUAACGUAGGGAAACUUACGCUAAUACCGCAUACGAACUACGGUUGAAAGCAGGGGAUCGCAAGACCUUGCGCUAUUGGAUGAGCCGAAGUCGGAUUAGCUAGUUGGUGAGGUAAAGGCUCACCAAGGCGACGAUCCGUAGCUGGUCUGAGAGGACGAACAGCCACGCUGGAACUGAGACACGGUCCAGACUCCUACGGGAGGCAGCAGUGGGGAAUAUUGGACAAUGGGGGAAACCCUGAUCCAGCGACGCCGCGUGUGUGAAGAAGGCCUGCGGGUUGUAAAGCACUUUUAGUGGGGACAAAAAGCCAAAGGCUAAUACCUUUUGGUCUUGAUUUAACCCAAAGAAAAAGCACCGGCUAACUCUGUGCCAGCAGCCGCGGUAA
This 502-nucleotide ribosomal RNA is filed under the name uncultured bacterium. Its description in RNAcentral is "partial 16S ribosomal RNA". It matches the Rfam family "Bacterial small subunit ribosomal RNA", at positions 30 to 523 of the family's 1533-position model. The record is from RNAcentral.